GCACUCAUAGCUCAGCAGGAUAGAGCGUCGGUUUCCUAAACCGCAGGCCGGAGGUUCGAAUCCUCUUGAGUGCACCA
RNAcentral lists this transfer RNA (77 nucleotides) under Firmicutes bacterium ADurb.Bin099. RNAcentral describes it as "tRNA-Arg". It matches the Rfam family "tRNA". From Rfam's summary of the family: Transfer RNA (tRNA) molecules are approximately 80 nucleotides in length. Their secondary structure includes four short double-helical elements and three loops (D, anti-codon, and T loops). Lineage: Bacteria; Bacillati; Bacillota. RNAcentral also lists the same sequence under 2 other names. The record is from RNAcentral.